This 482-nucleotide ribosomal RNA is filed under the name uncultured bacterium. Its description in RNAcentral is "partial 16S ribosomal RNA". It matches the Rfam family "Bacterial small subunit ribosomal RNA", at positions 28 to 507 of the family's 1533-position model. The record is from RNAcentral.
GUUGAACGCUGGCGGCAUGCCUUACACAUGCAAGUCGAACGGUAAGAGGUCUUCGGAUGCUGACGAGUGGCGAACGGGUGAGUAAUACAUCGGAACGUGCCCAGACGUGGGGGAUAACGAGGCGAAAGCUUUGCUAAUACCGCAUACGAUCUAAGGAUGAAAGCAGGGGACCGCAAGGCCUGGUGCGGUUGGUGCGGCCGAUGGCAGAUUAGGUAGUUGGUGGGAUAAAAGCUUACCAAGCCGACGAUCUGUAGCUGGUCUGAGAGGACGACCAGCCACACUGGAACUGAGACACGGCCCAGACUCCUACGGGAGGCAGCAGUGGGGAAUUUUGGACAAUGGGCGAAAGCCUGAUCCAGCAAUGCCGCGUGCAGGAUGAAGGCCUUCGGGUUGUAAACUGCUUUUGUACGGAACGAAAAGGCUCUGGCUAAUACCUGGGGCACAUGACGGUACCGUAAGAAUAAGCACCGGCUAACUACGUG